RNAcentral lists this ribosomal RNA (440 nucleotides) under uncultured bacterium. RNAcentral describes it as "bacterial SSU rRNA". It matches the Rfam family "Bacterial small subunit ribosomal RNA", at positions 958 to 1398 of the family's 1533-position model. The record is from RNAcentral.
AACGCGAAGAACCUUACCUACCUUUGAAUCCACGGAAUUUUGCAGAGAUGUGAGAGUGCCUUCGGGAACCGUGAGACAGGUGCUGCAUGGCUGUCGUCAGCUCGUGUCGUGAGAUGUUGGGUUAAGUCCCGUAACGAGCGCAACCCCUAUCCUUAGUUACCAACGAGUGAAGUCGGGGACUUUAAGGAGACUGCCGGUGAUAAACCGGAGGAAGGUGGGGAUGACGUCAAGUCCUCAUGGCCCUUACAGGUAGGGCUACACACGUGCUACAAUGGUCGGUACAAAGGGUAGCGAACACGCGAGUGGGAGCCAAUCUCAAAAAGCCGAUCGUAGUCCGGAUUGGAGUCUGCAACUCGACUCCAUGAAGCUGGAAUCGCUAGUAAUCGUGGAUCAGAACGCCGCGGUGAAUACGUUCCCGGGCCUUGUACACACCGGUACUA